RNAcentral lists this ribosomal RNA (73 nucleotides) under Staphylococcus devriesei. Its description in RNAcentral is "partial 16S ribosomal RNA". It matches the Rfam family "Bacterial small subunit ribosomal RNA", at positions 1 to 72 of the family's 1533-position model. The record is from RNAcentral. Lineage: Bacteria; Bacillati; Bacillota; Bacilli; Caryophanales; Staphylococcaceae.
UUUUAUGGAGAGUUUGAUCCUGGCUCAGGAUGAACGCUGGCGGCGUGCCUAAUACAUGCAAGUCGAGCGAACA